RNAcentral lists this microRNA precursor (73 nucleotides) under Medicago truncatula (barrel medic). Its description in RNAcentral is "MIR5272 microRNA precursor family". It matches the Rfam family "MIR5272 microRNA precursor family". Lineage: Eukaryota; Viridiplantae; Streptophyta; Magnoliopsida; Fabales; Fabaceae. The record is from Rfam by way of RNAcentral.
UUUGAUGUGAAUUAAUUUAUGUUUGAAUAUACUCACUUAAAAGUGAUACUUAUGAGUUAUGUUGUUUGAAUAC